AUUGAACGCUGGCGGCAGGCCUAACACAUGCAAGUCGAACGGUAACAGGAAGCAGCUUGCUGCUUUGCUGACGAGUGGCGGACGGGUGAGUAAUGUCUGGGAAACUGCCUGAUGGAGGGGGAUAACUACUGGAAACGGUAGCUAAUACCGCAUAACGUCGCAAGACCAAAGGGGGGGACCUUCGGGCCUCUUGCCAUCGGAUGUGCUCAGAUGGGAUUAGCUAGUAGGUGGGGUAACGGCUCACCUAGGCGACGAUCCCUAGCUGGUCUGAGAGGAUGACCAGCCACACUGGAACUGAGACACGGUCCAGACUCCUACGGGAGGCAGCAGUGGGGAAUAUUGCACAAUGGGCGCAAGCCUGAUGCAGCCAUGCCGCGUGUAUGAAGAAGGCCUUCGGGUUGUAAAGUACUUUCAGCGGGGAGGAAGGGAGUAAAGUUAAUACCUUUGCUCAUUGACGUUACCCGCAGAAGAAGCACCGGCUAACUCCGUG
This 490-nucleotide ribosomal RNA is filed under the name uncultured bacterium. Its description in RNAcentral is "partial 16S ribosomal RNA". It matches the Rfam family "Bacterial small subunit ribosomal RNA", at positions 30 to 507 of the family's 1533-position model. The record is from RNAcentral.